This 284-nucleotide ribosomal RNA is filed under the name uncultured prokaryote. Its description in RNAcentral is "partial 16S ribosomal RNA". It matches the Rfam family "Bacterial small subunit ribosomal RNA", at positions 524 to 817 of the family's 1533-position model. The record is from RNAcentral.
UACGUAGGGGGCGAGCGUUGUCCGGAAUUACUGGGCGUAAAGGGUGCGUAGGCGGCAAAUUAAGUUGGAUGUGAAAUACCCGGGCUUAACUCGGGGGGUGCAUUCAAAACUGGUUAGCUAGAGUACAGGAGAGGGAAGCGGAAUUCCUAGUGUAGCGGUGAAAUGCGUAGAUAUUAGGAGGAACACCGGUGGCGAAGGCGGCUUUCUGGACUGACACUGACGCUGAGGCACGAAAGCGUGGGGAGCAAACAGGAUUAGAUACCCUGGUAGUCCCUGAGCGGGCU